ACCUUUGUGGUGUAACGGUUAGAACACUCGGCGCGUAUUCAAGAGGUCCAGGUUCAAGUCCCGGCAAGGGCA
Molecule: transfer RNA, 72 nt
Filed under: Stegodyphus mimosarum
Lineage: Eukaryota; Metazoa; Arthropoda; Arachnida; Araneae; Eresidae
Rfam family: tRNA
About the family: Transfer RNA (tRNA) molecules are approximately 80 nucleotides in length.
Source: Rfam by way of RNAcentral